Molecule: long non-coding RNA, 1518 nt
Filed under: Medicago truncatula (barrel medic)
Lineage: Eukaryota; Viridiplantae; Streptophyta; Magnoliopsida; Fabales; Fabaceae
Description: lncRNA gene12019
Source: RNAcentral
GAUGACAUAUAAUAAUAAUGCUUGUGCUUUCUGAUUGUUACAUUAAUAACACAAAAUGUUACAUUAAUAACACAAAUGUUAAAUAGUUUUGGAAGAAGAUAGAACCUCACACUGCAAAACAUGAAACUGUGCAAGAUCAUGGAUGCAUACACCUUAAAAAUAAAGCAUCACAAUUAUCUCAUUACUGAUUAAUUUCUUUCCAAUGUGCGUGCAUUGUGUAUCUCUCUCACUCUAAAUUGUUUAACCAAAUAUAUUAUAUAUAUAUAUAUAUAUAUAUAAAGAAUCCUCAUCAUGGUGUGUAUGUGUAACCUUGUGCUUCUUGCUGCUUCUCAUACUCUUCCAUAGUCUCAAACUCAUUUUGAUAUUGAUUCUUUUCAUAGUUACCUUCAUUUUCAGUGCUUCCUCUCCCUGAUUCAUAUCCAUUAACGUUGUUAUACUUCUCAUUUUCACUAUUUACAUUGUAAUAGUACUUUCCAUUCUCCAUAAACCUUGUGUCACUCAUUCCUUCUCCUUUCCUCUCAUAAUUGUUGUUGUAAAACUCCUUUCCAUUGUAGCUGUUGUAACUGUUCUUGUUCUCUUCAUUGUUGUAGUUUUUUGUGUACACUUCAUUGUUGUUGUGGAAGUUUGUUUGAGGAUAUCCUUUUUUGUAGCUUUUAUUAUCAUUGAAGUCUUCAUUGAGAAGCUCAUCUUCAAAAUCUGUUAAUGUGGUUUUUGGAGUUUCCUUGGUUGGAGAAUAUUGGCUAGAAUCAAUGCCAUAGAGACCGUAACCGUUUCCCGUUUCGACUAAAAAUUGAGGUUCUGGUGCUGGUCCUGAUGGUAUAUUAGUUGAUUCAAUCUCUGGUGCAGCUCCAGGUUCUGGUGCCGGGGCUGGAGAUUGAGGUAAUUGAGGAUCUUCAACAUUGUGGGUGGUUUUGAAAUGAGUAAAGAAGCUAAAGAACUUGUUUUGUCUAGCUUGAAUUUGGGGUGAGAGGAAAAGUACCAAUAAGAAAAGGAAAGAGACUUGGUUUGCAAGAGAAGCCAUGUGUGUGUGAAACGGAGCGGAACAGAAUAGAACAGACAAUGAGUUAUGACUGUUGAGAGAAUCAAAUUGUUAGGGUCAUUUUAUAGAUCAAAAGACCAGUAAAUUAUGCGAGGAUUGUGGAAGGGUAAGUAAAUGUGGGGUAUAGUAUAAGAAAAUUAAUGACUUAUAAGGUCAUGAUAUGCAUGUGCAAGGUUUUGGAAGGUCAGCAUGGGAGACAUAAAGAUAGGUAAUGUAGGGCAAACAUAGUAAAAAAUGACAGUUUUUGCUUUUUCUUUUAACUUGUUACUCUUUUGUUAUAUGAAUUCAAAAUUGUUUGGAGGGCCUACCACAAUUCUUUGUCUUCAUUGUUAGGUAACUAUAAUGUAGAUGCUUGUUAGGAAAAAAGGGAGGGAAAGAUGGAAGACAAUUGUAAGUGGGAGUGUGAACUAUCAGAUUGUACAAUUACACAAUCAUGCAAUGGGCAAUCUCUGAACUGUCAAGAGUAAAAUUGAACAGUU